Molecule: RNA transcript, 2944 nt
Organism: Silurus meridionalis
Lineage: Eukaryota; Metazoa; Chordata; Actinopteri; Siluriformes; Siluridae
Gene name: neuronal pentraxin-2
Exons: 7
Source: RefSeq, a predicted model, not a curated record
GCCCAAACCAUGGACACACACACACACACACACACACACACACACACAUACAGGACCCACAGGACAGGAGGGUAUUAGUGUCAACUGAAGGAUUAACAACACACACACACACACACACACACACACACACACACACACACACACACACACACACACACACACACACACACAGGCAGUUCCAACACUUCACACUCAAGGCCAUUUGGCAGAAGAAAGAAAUCCUUACAGUCAUAUUAAUCUCCCCUGCACACACACACACUCUAAAGAGGAGUGUAUUCUGACCAAGCAACUUUACUGAAUUAGUGUAUGGUAAAGAAUCAACCCCGAUGUAACACAUCCCAGAACACUUCAGCACAAAUGAGACACGACUCCUUUCACACACCCUCCGCGAGGAGGACAAGGAUGGACGGAUGGGUUUGCGCUGUCCUGGUGUGUGUACUCCUUACCUGUGGAGAAGUCUGGGGUGCAGAGUAUGAGCUGGGCGAUCACCCACGCUUCAUUUGCACCCCCAUUCCACCCGACGCUCCCUGUCCUUCAUCGGCUAGCACCGGGCACCGUGGUGACCGUCAUUAUGGAGAGCAUCAGGGCGAGCAUCACAGCAGGCACCACAGUGGACGGUACACUGGUUAUCACAGCGACUCGUUGUUUGGCGAAUCAGAUGAUGCCACGCCCACCAUCUUGCACCUGCGUGAGAGCCUGGUGCAACAGAAGGAGACCAUUCUGGACCAGAGGGAGACAAUUCGCGAGCUCACUUCCAAGCUGGCGCUCUGCCAGGGCCUCGGGCAUGGCCUGGGCGGACCCGAGCAUGGACACGCCCAGUACAGGCGUUACCACACCAACAGAGAGCACACGGGCGAUACUGGCGAGACAAUAAGCUUGUCCCACUCAAGCUCCCCGGAGCAGAUGAGCCACAUGCUGGAGACAUUAAAGGAGAGACUGGAAAACCUGCAGGUAAGAGAUAUGCAGAACACGUCCACGGCGUACUCCGUCUCUCUGAAGGAGCUUCUGCGGAGGAAGAUCGCCGCUCUCGAGCAGCGGCUGCUGCAUCACACGGAGUCCAUCGACGAUGUCAACCAUCCCCACGGUGACAACGAGGACGACGACGUUGACCACCACGACGGGCAACGUGAUGGUAACGACAAUCGCCAUGCCGAAGGGAGCCCCCCGGCAGCACACCACUCGCAGGAUCGAAGUACGACGCGUGACGAGCUGGACAAAGUGCUUAAGAAGCUCACCCACGGUUCAAGGACGAGAAGCAAAUCUUCCAGGAGCUUCCAGAUUGGCUUCCCCAUGCGCACCAACUACAUGUACAGCCGGGUCAAGCGAACGGUCAACCGUGAGAUGUAUGCCAUGACGCUGUGCAUGUGGCUGAAGGGCGGAGCCUCUGGUAUCGGCACGCCCUUUUCCUACUCCGUCCCCGGGCAAGCCAAUGAACUGGUGCUGAUUGAAUGGGGGGACAAGCCGAUGGAGCUACUCAUCAAAGACACAGCAGUGAUAUUACCCCUCUCGCUGCAUGAUGGGAAAUGGCACCACAUGUGUGUCACGUGGUUGGCACGGGAUGGCAUUUGGGAAGUUUAUCAGGACGGAGCAAAACGAGGUUCGGGGGAAAAUCUGAAUGCCUGGCAACCCAUAAAACCUGGAGGAGUAUUUAUUUUGGGGCAGGAGCAGGACUCCCUCGGCGGACGCUUCGACGCCACCCAGGCGUUUGUUGGCGAGAUCUCGGACCUGCAGCUUUGGUCUCACACGCUAACACACCAUGACAUCUACAGCCUCGCGUCCUGCCACGGUCACAUGACCGGUGACAUCAUAAGCUGGGCGGAAUCUGUGGUGGAGCUGCACGGGGGCAUCACCAAAUACCCGUUUGACCCCUGCCACUGAGGACCUCAUGCAGUGUCAGGGUGGGAACAGUGAUUCCGCCCAGUCACAUGGGUUAGGGGUGUGUCCCAAAUCGCUCAACUCGCUCCCUUUACACUACUCUGUAGAACCUGUUUGUGUAAUCUGUAUGAGAAAGAAAGAAAUGUAUUUGAACAGAAGUAGCUGAAACAGUAGCUAAAGGUGAACUGAAAAAAUACAGCAAUACCAAAGACGCUAAAGAGUUAGCAUGAGUCGACUGUUACUGAACUAGUUUUAUGUUCUUUUAUUUUUACCCCCAUUAAAACUUCUACUUCCUUUUAAGUGCCCUCUGAGUGCCCUCAGGGAUAAAGAGAUUAUACACUAUGUGGCCAAAAGUACUGGGACACCAUUUACUUUUCCACCCAUAUGUGCUUCGUCCCCAAACUGUGACCACACAGCUGUACAGGGAAAGAAGGAAAGAAAGAAUGAAAGAAAGAAAGAAAGAAAGAAAGAAAGAAAGAAAGAAAGAAAGAAAGAAAGAAAGAAAGAAAGAAAUGGAAAAAAGAAAUGGAAAAAAGAAAGGAAAGACAUACAGAAAGAAAAGAGAAAGAAAAAUAAAGGAUUCAAGUGAGGAAAUAAAAAAAAGAGAAAGAAAGGAAAAAAGAAAGAAAGAAUGAAAGAAGACAGGACAAGUAUCUGGCAUUUUCUGAUCGGUGUGAUAUUAUAAAGGGAGCAGAAGGGGGCGCCAGAGCGGCGUAGCAGAGUGCACUAGGUAGUGAUCCCUACACGCUGUAUUAUAUCGGCGUAGUGCACUAGGUAGUGAUCCCUACACGCUGUAUUAUAUCGGCGUAGUGCACUAGGUAGUGAUCCCUACACGCUGUAUUAUAUCGGCGUAGUGCACUAGGUAGUGAGGAAGUAACCCUGAGUCGCUUUUUUAUUAUUUUAUUUUUGUCUAUAAUUAUGAAUUUCACGGUUUUAAUAAAACGUAAAAAAAAAAAUUGUUAUUCGUGUGUUUAUGUUUUUGUUAUAAAAAAGCAGCAGGGGGCGCCAGAGCGGCAUGACAGAGUGAAAAAAAGAAAAAAGGAUAGAGGAAAAAAUAUUUGUAAAAAGA